UAGGGAAUCUUCGGCAAUGGGGGCAACCCUGACCGAGCAACGCCGCGUGAGUGAAGAAGGUUUUCGGAUCGUAAAGCUCUGUUGUAAGAGAAGAACGAGUGUGAGAGUGGAAAGUUCACACUGUGACGGUAACUUACCAGAAAGGGACGGCUAACUACGUGCCAGCAGCCGCGGUAAUACGUAGGUCCCGAGCGUUAUCCGGAUUUAUUGGGCGUAAAGCGAGCGCAGGCGGUUAGAUAAGUCUGAAGUUAAANNNUGUGGCUUAACCAUAGUACGCUUUGGAAACUGUUUAACUUGAGUGCAGAAGGGGAGAGUGGAAUUCCAUGUGUAGCGGUGAAAUGCGUAGAUAUAUGGAGGAACACCGGUGGCGAAAGCGGCUCUCUGGUCUGUAACUGACGCUGAGGCUCGAAAGCGUGGGGAGCAAACAGGAUUAGAUACCCUGGUAGUCCACGCCGUAAACGAUGAGUGCUAGGUGUUGGGUCCUUUCCGGGACUCAGUGCCGCAGCUAACGCAUUAAGCACUCCGCCUGGGGAGUACGACCGCAAGGUUG
RNAcentral lists this ribosomal RNA (550 nucleotides) under uncultured bacterium. RNAcentral describes it as "bacterial SSU rRNA". It matches the Rfam family "Bacterial small subunit ribosomal RNA", at positions 355 to 896 of the family's 1533-position model. The record is from RNAcentral.